Molecule: ribosomal RNA, 429 nt
Filed under: Bacteroidota bacterium
Lineage: Bacteria; Pseudomonadati; Bacteroidota
Description: Bacteroidetes bacterium partial 16S ribosomal RNA
Rfam family: Bacterial small subunit ribosomal RNA
Source: RNAcentral
UAGGGAAUCUUCGGCAAUGGGGGGAACCCUGACCGAGCAACGCCGCGUGAGUGAAGAAGGUUUUCGGAUCGUAAAGCUCUGUUGUUAAGGAAGAACGAGUGUGAGAAUGGAAAGUUCAUGCUGUGACGGUACUUAACCAGAAAGGGACGGCUAACUACGUGCCAGCAGCCGCGGUAAUACGUAGGUCCCGAGCGUUGUCCGGAUUUAUUGGGCGUAAAGCGAGCGCAGGCGGUUAGAAAAGUCUGAAGUGAAAGGCAGUGGCUCAACCAUUGUAGGCUUUUGGAACUGUUUAACUUGAGUGCAGAAGGGGAGAGGUGAAUUCCAUGUGUAACGGUGAAAUGCGGAGAUAUAUGGAGGAACACCGGUGGCGAAAGCGGCUCUCUGGUCUGUAACUGACGCUGAGGCUCGAAAGCGUGGGGAGCGAACAGG